GGUGGCUCAGUGGUAGAGUACUUGCCUUGCAUGCAUGAGGCCCUGGGUUCGAUUCCUCAAGCACCA
Molecule: transfer RNA, 66 nt
Filed under: Dipodomys ordii (Ord's kangaroo rat)
Lineage: Eukaryota; Metazoa; Chordata; Mammalia; Rodentia; Heteromyidae
Rfam family: tRNA
About the family: Transfer RNA (tRNA) molecules are approximately 80 nucleotides in length. Their secondary structure includes four short double-helical elements and three loops (D, anti-codon, and T loops). Further hydrogen bonds mediate the characteristic L-shaped molecular structure. tRNAs have two regions of fundamental functional importance: the anti-codon, which is responsible for specific mRNA codon recognition, and the 3' end, to which the tRNAs corresponding amino acid is attached (by aminoacyl-tRNA synthetases). tRNAs cope with the degeneracy of the genetic code in two manners: having more than one tRNA (with a specific anti-codon) for a particular amino acid; and 'wobble' base-pairing, i.e. permitting non-standard base-pairing at the 3rd anti-codon position.
Source: Rfam by way of RNAcentral